CCCUUAGAUGUUCUGGGCCGCACGCGUGCUACACUGAGUGGAUCAGCGGGUCAGGUUGCGCGAAAGUGUUUCCUAAUCUUGAAAUCCGCUCGUGAUGGGGAUUGACGGUUGCAAUUUUCCGUCAUGAACGAGGAAUACCUUGUAAGCGCGGGUCAUCAUCCCGCGCUUAAUACGUCCCUGCCCUUUGUACACACCGCCCGUCGCUCCUACCGAUUGAGUGGUCCGGUGAGGCUUUGGGAUCUGAGCGGAAAGAGCGUUUCGCUGUUUCUGCUCGGAAAACUCAGUCGAACCUUAUCAUUUAGAGGAAGGAGAAGUCGUAACA
This 322-nucleotide ribosomal RNA is filed under the name uncultured eukaryote. RNAcentral's name for it is "partial 18S ribosomal RNA". It matches the Rfam family "Eukaryotic small subunit ribosomal RNA", at positions 1470 to 1796 of the family's 1831-position model. The record is from RNAcentral.